UGCCGGUGCCGCGUGCGCCCAACGCCACUAGGGUCGAAAGGCCACCACGGACGCGACAAUCGGUUAAAGAUAACCAAUAGAAUUAUAAUGCCGGCCGCUCAAAGGCUAUAAAGCCCACGCCCCCAUAUUCCGCAUCCGAGGGGACGAGUAGGCACACGCGGACCGUGGCUGCCACACAACAAAUUGAUGGUCGUCGGGGACGCGUGUGCUACUUUGAUGUCCUCCUCGCACCCGCAGAGGGCACAAGGAGGAAAGGGGCAACGUUGGCAACUAAUUCCGUCAUAUUAGGUAUGCAACACAAGAACCCAAGAGGCUCGAGAGACACAUGGUCCUCGUAGCAAAACAAUGAGAGGUAGCGGAGCGUAAACAGUUCGAUGCCCAGAGCAC
RNAcentral lists this unclassified non-coding RNA (387 nucleotides) under Phyllogeiton zeyheri. RNAcentral's name for it is "partial contains external transcribed spacer and small subunit ribosomal RNA". The record is from RNAcentral. Lineage: Eukaryota; Viridiplantae; Streptophyta; Magnoliopsida; Rosales; Rhamnaceae.